GAUGAACGCUGGCGGCGUGCCUAAUACAUGCAAGUCGAGCGAACGGACGAGAAUCUUGCUUCUCUGAUGUUAGCGGCGGACGUGUGAUUAACACGUGGAUAACCUACCUAUAAUUCUUGGAUCACUUCGUGAAACCUGAGCUAAUACCGGAUAAUAUUUUUAACCUCAUUGUUCAUAAGUGAAAGACGUUCUUUCUGUCUCUUAUAGAUUUAUCCUCGCUGCAUUAUCUAGUUGGUAAUGUAAAGGCUUACCAAGGCAAAGAUGCAUAUCCGACAUGAGAGGGUGAUCGGACACACUGGAACUGAGACACGGACGAGAGUCCUACGGGAGGCAGCAGUAGGGAAUCUUGCGCAAUAGGAGAAAGACUGACGGAGCAACGACGCGUGAGUGAUGAAGGUCUUCGGAUCGUAAAACUAUGUUAUUAGGGAAGAAAAUAUGUGUAAGAAACUGUGCACAGCUUGAAGGUACCUAAAGAGAAAGCCACGGCUAAAUACGUG
RNAcentral lists this ribosomal RNA (497 nucleotides) under uncultured bacterium. RNAcentral describes it as "partial 16S ribosomal RNA". It matches the Rfam family "Bacterial small subunit ribosomal RNA", at positions 28 to 507 of the family's 1533-position model. The record is from RNAcentral.